RNAcentral lists this ribosomal RNA (305 nucleotides) under uncultured bacterium. RNAcentral's name for it is "bacterial SSU rRNA". It matches the Rfam family "Bacterial small subunit ribosomal RNA", at positions 337 to 640 of the family's 1533-position model. The record is from RNAcentral.
UCCUACGGGGCGCAGCAGUGAGGAAUAUUGGUCAAUGGCCGAGAGGCUGAACCAGCCAAGUCGCGUGAGGGAAGACGGCCCUACGGGUUGUAAACCUCUUUUGUCGGGGAGCAAAGCGAACCACGUGUGGUUCAUUGAGAGUACCCGAAGAAAAAGCAUCGGCUAACUCCGUGCCAGCAGCCGCGGUAAUACGGAGGAUGCGAGCGUUAUCCGGAUUUAUUGGGUUUAAAGGGUGCGUAGGCGGACAGUCAAGUCAGCGGUAAAAAUGCGGUGCUCAACGCCGUAAAGCCGUUGAAACUGGCAGU